UGAUGCGAUCAUACCAGCACUAAAGCACCGGAUCCCAUCAGAACUCCUAAGUUAUGUGUGCUUGGGCGAGAGUAGUACUAGGAUGGGUGACCUCCUGGGAAGUCCUCGUGUUGCAUUCC
Molecule: ribosomal RNA, 119 nt
Filed under: Triticum aestivum (bread wheat)
Lineage: Eukaryota; Viridiplantae; Streptophyta; Magnoliopsida; Poales; Poaceae
Source: RNAcentral